GGGGAUAGAUUUUUGAUCUAUAGUGUACUUACUCUGAUUCGUAGUUGGUUCAAUCCGACCUGAUUGCCAAUCCAAAUUUUAAAUAUAUGUAUUAUUUAUUUAAAAUCUAAAUACCAGUAAUUGAGCAUACACAGUCACUUGUUUUAAAUAUUUGCACAAUAGCUUCUAAUACAAGCAUCGCCUUCCUAAAACAUGUGCAUUGGAUAUAUGUGCAUCAUCUAUUUAAAAUAUCUAUACACCA
This 241-nucleotide long non-coding RNA is filed under the name Elaeis guineensis (African oil palm). Its description in RNAcentral is "long non-coding RNA (EGUI_LNC036618)". The record is from RNAcentral. Lineage: Eukaryota; Viridiplantae; Streptophyta; Magnoliopsida; Arecales; Arecaceae.